GGGGAUGUAGAUCAAUUGGUAGAUCGCUCGCUUUGCAUGCGAGAGGUACCGGGAUCAAAACCCAGCAUCUCCA
RNAcentral lists this transfer RNA (73 nucleotides) under Chrysochromulina ericina virus. It matches the Rfam family "tRNA". Rfam says of the family: Transfer RNA (tRNA) molecules are approximately 80 nucleotides in length. Their secondary structure includes four short double-helical elements and three loops (D, anti-codon, and T loops). Further hydrogen bonds mediate the characteristic L-shaped molecular structure. tRNAs have two regions of fundamental functional importance: the anti-codon, which is responsible for specific mRNA codon recognition, and the 3' end, to which the tRNAs corresponding amino acid is attached (by aminoacyl-tRNA synthetases). tRNAs cope with the degeneracy of the genetic code in two manners: having more than one tRNA (with a specific anti-codon) for a particular amino acid; and 'wobble' base-pairing, i.e. permitting non-standard base-pairing at the 3rd anti-codon position. The record is from Rfam by way of RNAcentral. Lineage: Varidnaviria; Bamfordvirae; Nucleocytoviricota; Megaviricetes; Algavirales; Phycodnaviridae.